UUCAAGUCCCGAGUUAUUACUUUCACAAAUUAAAACAGCUUGCAGAAAGCAUGGGAUUGAGAUUGCUGGCCAAAACUCAUCAGUUAUGGGAGCUCGCGGAGGCUUUCAACAGAUAAAGAAGAAUUUGUUGGGAGAGAAUGUGAUCAACCUAUUCACAUAUCAGAGAAUGGGAGCGGACUUCUUCUCACCUGAACAUUUUCCUUCAUUUUCUGAGUUUGUUCGGAGCCUUAAUCAACCACAACUGGAGUCGGAUGAUCUACCUACUGAAGAAGAAGCUGCUGAGUCCAUACCUACAAAUUCGGAAUCAGUCAUCCGCUUGCAAACCGCUUAAUUUCAAUUAGAAUUUAUGGUUGUAUUUUUCAAUUAGAAUUUAUGGUUGUAUUUGUAUAUAUUAAACUUGUCUGCUAU
This 408-nucleotide long non-coding RNA is filed under the name Malus domestica (apple). RNAcentral describes it as "long non-coding RNA (MDOM_LNC016259)". The record is from RNAcentral. Lineage: Eukaryota; Viridiplantae; Streptophyta; Magnoliopsida; Rosales; Rosaceae.